This 440-nucleotide ribosomal RNA is filed under the name uncultured bacterium. RNAcentral describes it as "partial 16S ribosomal RNA". It matches the Rfam family "Bacterial small subunit ribosomal RNA", at positions 338 to 795 of the family's 1533-position model. The record is from RNAcentral.
CCUACGGGAGGCAGCAGUGGGGAAUAUUGCACAAUGGGGGAAACCCUGAUGCAGCGACGCCGCGUGUGUGAAGAAGUAAUUCGGUAUGUAAAGCUCUAUCAGCAGGGAAGAAAAUGCCGGUACCUGAGUAAGAAGCCCCGGCUAACAACGUGCCAGCAGCCGCGGUAAUACGUAGGGGGCACGCGUUAUCCGGAUUUACUGGGUGUAAAGGGAGCGUAGACGGCAGUGCAAGUCUGGAGUGCAAGGCCGGGGCUCAACCCCCGGACUGCACUGGAAACUGUAAGGCUGGAGUGCAGGAGAGGGAAGUGGAAUUCCUGGUGUAGCGGUGAAAUGCGUAGAUAUCAGGAGGAACACCAGUGGCGAAGGCGGCUUACUGGACUGUAACUGACGGUGAGGUUCGAAAGCGUGGGGAGCAAACAGGAUUAGAUACCCUGGUAGUC